This 450-nucleotide ribosomal RNA is filed under the name Triticum aestivum (bread wheat). RNAcentral describes it as "partial small subunit ribosomal RNA". Lineage: Eukaryota; Viridiplantae; Streptophyta; Magnoliopsida; Poales; Poaceae. The record is from RNAcentral.
AUGGACCCCGGGGCGUCCUCCUCCUCGCCAGGUCGGUCGACCGGCUCUCCCUGCCUCCGCCCCGUCAAGCCGGAGCCCCAGGACACGCCUGUCAUCGCGUGCACCCACAGCUCCGGCGUCCGCUUCGACGACUCCGCCCCCGCCUCUGGCCGCCUCGUCCUUGUCAGGCCGGAGCCGGAGCCCGGCCUCCCCGCGGAGUACGAGGAGAUAGCCCGGCGCGGCUUCUCCGAUGAGGACGCCCUACGGUGGGCGCGGGACGACUACCUCCGCGACGAGGUGGUCCGGCAGCGCCGGGCCCUGGAGGAGAUAGCCGCCCGCAAACGUGGGCGCGAGGACGAGCACGGCGUCGUGGUCCUCGACGGCGACGACGACGACGCCCCCGGUACCGUCCAACCCACCGCGCCAACCGGGGGACGGUUGCAGCAGGGACGGCGGCCGCGGCGGAGAUGA